This 184-nucleotide ribosomal RNA is filed under the name Arthrobacter sp. a1s1. Its description in RNAcentral is "partial 16S ribosomal RNA". Lineage: Bacteria; Bacillati; Actinomycetota; Actinomycetes; Micrococcales; Micrococcaceae. The record is from RNAcentral.
GGGCAGCUCUCUGCAGUACGUCCUUUCGCUUCUUCCUACUGAAGAGGUUUACAACCCGAAGGCCGUCAUCCCUCACGCGGCGUCGCUGCAUCAGGCUUGCGCCCAUUGUGCAAUAUUCCCCACUGCUGCCUCCCGUAGGGGGGCGGGGGCGGCGGGCCGGGCGCGGGGCGCGGCGGGCGACGCG